RNAcentral lists this ribosomal RNA (584 nucleotides) under Sporisorium lepturi. Its description in RNAcentral is "LSU rRNA". It matches the Rfam family "Eukaryotic large subunit ribosomal RNA", at positions 93 to 655 of the family's 3401-position model. The record is from RNAcentral. Lineage: Eukaryota; Fungi; Basidiomycota; Ustilaginomycetes; Ustilaginales; Ustilaginaceae.
GUGAAGAGGGAAGAGCCCAAGAUUGAAAGCUGGCGCCUUCGGCGUCCGCAUUGUAAUCUCAAGAAGUGUUUUCCGCUUCGGACCAUGCCUAAGUCCCUUGGAAAAGGGCAUCAUAGAGGGUGAUAAUCCCGUACAUGGCAUGGAGCGCCCGAAGCUUUGUGAUACGCUUUCUAAGAGUCGAGUUGUUUGGGAAUGCAGCUCAAAAUGGGUGGUAAAUGCCAUCUAAGGCUAAAUAUUGGGGAGAGACCGAUAGCGAACAAGUACAGUGAUGGAAAGAUGAAAAGAACUUUGAAAAGAGAGUUAAACAGUACGUGAAAUUGCCAAAAGGGAAGGGUAGGAGGUCAGAGAUGCGUCUUGGAAUUCAGCCUUGCUUUUUCGCUUGGUGUUUUUUCCAAGUUUGCAGGCCAACGUCGGUUUUGGGCACUGGAGAAGGGUGGAAGGAACGUGGCACCUCUCGGGGUGUGUUAUAGCCUUCUACUGGAUACAGCGACCGAGACCGAGGACAGCAGCGUACUCGCAAGAGCGGGCCCUCGGGCACCUUUACGCUUAGGGCGUUGGCAUAAUGGCCCUCUACCACCCGUCUU